Molecule: long non-coding RNA, 211 nt
Filed under: Elaeis guineensis (African oil palm)
Lineage: Eukaryota; Viridiplantae; Streptophyta; Magnoliopsida; Arecales; Arecaceae
Description: long non-coding RNA (EGUI_LNC042457)
Source: RNAcentral
CCUUUGAUUUUUUUCACGCAUGCCUCCUCUAAUUUUAGGCAUCUUAAUCUGAUCAAUAUCAACCCCUUGUUCUCACCUCAUAUGAUCCCAUAUUUAAAUAGGGAGUAGAUAGGGUUUUUGGUUAAAGAGAUAAGAGUCCAACAAUCCUAGGACUCUUGAUUUAUGCUGCCCACCCUUUUCCUUUUUGUGCCACUUUCUUACAUGCUAACAC